ACAGGAGGAGAGAGACAGACAGCUGGAGACUCAGACACUCAGACGAGUGGAGAGAGAACUGUUGGAGAAGGUCCAGCUGACGGAGAGAGAGACUCUGCACCGGAUGGAGAUCCACACUCUGAAGGGGGCGCUGGAGAGGCAGCAGUUGGACAGACAGAGAGCAGAAGAAGAGGCUGCUGAUGCCAGAGAUGCUCUGCAGAAGGUCCUGGCUCUAGUUUAC
Perca fluviatilis (European perch) is the source of this 220-nucleotide long non-coding RNA. RefSeq lists it as uncharacterized. The transcript has 3 exons. The record is from RefSeq and is a predicted model, not a curated record. Lineage: Eukaryota; Metazoa; Chordata; Actinopteri; Perciformes; Percidae.